UACGUAGGCAGCGAGCGUUGUUCGGAAUUACUGGGCGUAAAGAGUGUGUAGGUGGUGCUCUAAGUUUGGUGUGAAAUCUCCCGGCUCAACUGGGAGGGUGCGCCGAAAACUGGAGUGCUUGAGGAUGGGAGAGGAAAGCGGAAUUCCUGGUGUAGCGGUGAAAUGCGUAGAUAUCAGGAGGAACACCUGCGGUGUAGACAGCUUUCUGGACCAUUUCUGACACUGAGACACGAAAGCGUGGGUAGCAAACAGG
This 253-nucleotide ribosomal RNA is filed under the name uncultured bacterium. Its description in RNAcentral is "partial 16S ribosomal RNA". It matches the Rfam family "Bacterial small subunit ribosomal RNA", at positions 524 to 776 of the family's 1533-position model. The record is from RNAcentral.